Long non-coding RNA from Cyprinus carpio (common carp), 643 nucleotides. RefSeq lists it as uncharacterized. The record is from RefSeq and is a predicted model, not a curated record. The transcript is spliced from 3 exons. Lineage: Eukaryota; Metazoa; Chordata; Actinopteri; Cypriniformes; Cyprinidae.
GUCUUCGUGAGCAUGUUUCCUCUUGCUGCCCAUGAUCUUCUGUGACUGUGUCAUCAACUGUGUGAAGGAUAUGAAAAAAACAAACAACCCCAACGUAAUUCAGUUGUGAUAUUUCACUUUCAACUAUUAAAGCACACAAUUUAAUAACACAUUUAAUGCUGUUGACCACCUGCUGGACCUCCGGAGGUAGACUGCAGCUUGAGUGCUCCAGGAACUUGGCCACCAGCACUUUGGUGUCUUUAGAAAACAGAGAUAAGGUGCAACCUUGAUCACAGGGAGUCUGUGGAGAGUCCUCAGGUGGAUGUUUAGAAGCAGGAGCACAAGGGUCACCUGCAAGUGAAGUCACAUGCUCAGUUUUCCAGAUUGCUCAUGGGUUAUUAAUGACUUAAUAUGAUGCUGUAUGAUAUGAUGUGCAAAGAUCAUAUAUUUUCCUCUAACUACAAUAAAGCAAUGAUUGUAUAAACUCAGCAUGUUACACAUAUGUGGUUUUCAUAAGGAGCUUAAUGCGGUUUAUUGUCAUUUUAGACCCCAGAUAAACAAAAAUUUCCCAUUUGUAGUUAUGAAACUGAGUUUUCACUGAUUUUAGCCCUGAGUUAUUAAACCAUGCACUUAAGAAGCUUCAGUCCUACUUUUGUGGCAUUAA